AGGAUGAACGCUGGCGGUCUGCUUAACACAUGCAAGUCGAACGGAGUAGCAAUACUUAGUGGCGGACGGGUGAGUAACGCGUGAGAAUCUACCUUCAGGACGGAGACAACAGUUGGAAACGACUGCUAACCCCCGAUGUACCGAAAGGGCAAAUAUUUAUAGCCUGAAGAAGAGCUCGCGUCCGAUUAGCUAGUUGGAGAGGUAAAAGCUCACCAAGGCGACGAUCGGUAGCUGGUCUGAGAGGACGAUCAGCCACACUGGGACUGAGACACGGCCCAGACUCCUACGGGAGGCAGCAGUGGGGAAUAUUGCGCAAUGGGCGAAAGCCUGACGCAGCGACGCCGCGUGAGGGAUGAAGGCCUUCGGGUCGUAAACCUCUUUCAGCAGGGAGAAGCGAAAGUGACGGUACCUGCAGAAGAAGCACCGGCUAACUACGUGCCAGCAGCCGC
Molecule: ribosomal RNA, 449 nt
Filed under: uncultured bacterium
Lineage: Bacteria
Description: SSU rRNA
Rfam family: Bacterial small subunit ribosomal RNA
Source: RNAcentral